Molecule: long non-coding RNA, 775 nt
Organism: Mustela lutreola (European mink)
Lineage: Eukaryota; Metazoa; Chordata; Mammalia; Carnivora; Mustelidae
Exons: 4
Source: RefSeq, a predicted model, not a curated record
UGAGUACAUGGUUGUCACCACAGGACCAUGCAACAUGAUUGAUGGAAAGACACCAACCGGCACUUUGGAUACAAAAGUAGGUUAUGAACUCACCCAUGACAACUGACAGAGAUAGCUGCAUUGACAGAGGACUAUACGUCAUGCUCCCAGACAGAAGGGGAAGCUCUGCAAAUCUCCCAUGUAGUUGGCAAUCCUUUCUAUCUUGGAUAUCAUUCAAAAACAAGGACAGAGCAACCAAUCUCCAUGCAUCUCAACUGACUGCACAAACAAGAAUACCUGGAAAACUUUCUCAAUGGAAUAAUAUAAAGCUAACAUUUCCUAAGUGAUUACUACUCUGAAGUCCAACGUCUCCCCCAGCAAAUAUAACAUGUGUGGCUACCUGAGGCCACAUCCCCGGGCUAUCAUAGAAGAACAGAACCAACGCAGAGAACUAGAAGGCUAAAUGCUCUAUCGGAACCCCAGAACCCAGGAGAAAGACCAUACCAUACAAAAAGCGAGAGAAGCACAAUCCCUCUGCCCGCCCCCCCCCAGGUUCAACAUCCAGCAGCAACUGUACAGACACUGACGUGGAAAUCCUGGCACCCUGGGAGACCGCGGUCUCCUAGAGAGCACUGGGCUGGGGUUCAUCAUUGAUAAAAUGGGAGGAUGCCAGAGUCUAGAGCGCAAGUAAACCACACCCAGAGGGCCAAUUUCAGCCACACACGCAUUUGGAUUGUUUGGGGUUUUUUUGUUGUUUCAGCUCUGCUGAAGUGUUAUUGAACAAUAAAAUCUUAUU